Molecule: ribosomal RNA, 301 nt
Filed under: uncultured bacterium
Lineage: Bacteria
Description: partial 16S ribosomal RNA
Rfam family: Bacterial small subunit ribosomal RNA
Source: RNAcentral
CAGUCGCCACGGUAAUACGGAGGGUGCAAGCGUUAUCCGGAUUCACUGGGUUUAAAGGGUGCGUAGGCGGAUCUGUAAGUCCGUGGUGAAAUCUCCAGGCUUAACCUGGAAACUGCCAUGGAUACUAUAGAUCUUGAAUGUUGUGGAGGUUAGCGGAAUAUGUCAUGUAGCGGUGAAAUGCAUAGAUAUGACAUAGAACACCAAUUGCGAAGGCAGCUGGCUACACAAAUAUUGACGCUGAGGCACGAAAGCGUGGGGAUCAAACAGGAUUAGAUACCCCCGUAGUCCCUGUCUCUUAUAC